AAUGGGUCAGCGACUUAUAUUCUGUAGCAAGGUUAACCGUAUAGGGGAGCCGAAGGGAAACCGAGUCUUAACUGGGCGUUAAGUUGCAGGGUAUAGACCCGAAACCCGGUGAUCUAGCCAUGGGCAGGUUGAAGGUUGGGUAACACUAACUGGAGGACCGAACCGACUAAUGUUGAAAAAUUAGCGGAUGACCUGUGGCUGGGGGUGAAAGGCCAAUCAAACCGGGAGAUAGCUGGUUCUCCCCGAAAGCUAUUUAGGUAGCGCCUCGUGAACUCAUCUUCGGGGGUAGAGCACUGUUUCGGCUAGGGGGCCAUCCCGGCUUACCAACCCGAUGCAAACUACGAAUACCGAAGAAUGUUAUCACGGGAGACACACGGCGGGUGCUAACGUCCGUCGUGAAGAGGGAAACAACCCAGACCGCCAGCUAAGGUCCCAAAGUCAUGGUUAAGUGGGAAACGAUGUGGGAAGGCACAGACAGCCAGGAUGUUGGCUUAGAAGCAGCCAUCAUUUAAAGAAAGCGUAAUAGCUCACUGGUCGAGUCGGCCUGCGCGGAAGAUGUAACGGGGCUAAACCAUGCACCGAAGCUGCGGCAGCGACACUAUGUGUUGUUGGGUAGGGGAGCG
This 623-nucleotide ribosomal RNA is filed under the name Enterobacter hormaechei. RNAcentral describes it as "partial 23S ribosomal RNA". It matches the Rfam family "Bacterial large subunit ribosomal RNA", at positions 614 to 1238 of the family's 2925-position model. RNAcentral also lists the same sequence under 2 other names. The record is from RNAcentral. Lineage: Bacteria; Pseudomonadati; Pseudomonadota; Gammaproteobacteria; Enterobacterales; Enterobacteriaceae.